CUAUGAAGUAAAUGUUCAUUUAUUUAUCUAUAACCAAUAAAGGUAUUUAUUUAUCUUUUAUUUUUCUCAGGUUAUUUUUAAUUCUAAUUGUUCUAGGUUUCUUGUGCCAAAGUAAAAUAAGGUUUUUCUUGUGGAAGAAUAAAGAUGCUUAGUAGGAUAUGCAGACGUAGCUUCAGCUCUGCUUUUCCUCAACCAUGGCUCUUUAUUGGGCUGGGCAAUCCUGGUGAUAAAUACAAGGGAACAAGACAUAAUGUUGGAUUUGAUAUGGUAGAUGCAUUUGCACAGUCAGUUGGCAUCCAGAUGGAUGAUGUACAUUGCAAAGCUAUAUUUGGGAAAGGUUUCCUUAAUGGAGUUC
Molecule: long non-coding RNA, 355 nt
Organism: Ipomoea triloba (trilobed morning glory)
Lineage: Eukaryota; Viridiplantae; Streptophyta; Magnoliopsida; Solanales; Convolvulaceae
Exons: 3
Source: RefSeq, a predicted model, not a curated record